ACUUCAUUGCAUAAUGCGGUAGAAAGUGAAUUGGCAGCAGAAACACCCUGCUCAGGAACAAGUGUCUUGAUUCUCAGCAAAGAGGACAAAGAGAAGCAGCAAGCUGUAAGGGGUGAAGGCUGGACUGCGGUCAAGGUCUGCCAUGGUGAGGAGGCAUAGCAGCAAGUACCAGACAUUAAGCUGACAGCUCACAGUCUGAAGUGCAAGUGUGAAGCCGGCAAGAACAUAACAUGAAGUGGGGUGAGACUAUAAGCACUCUAAAUCUGUCCCCAUUGACCCACUCCAUCAAGGCUCUAUCUUCUGAACCUCCCAAACAGCGCCACUAACUUGGGCCAAUUGUUCAAAUUCUCGAGACUAUGGGAAACUUUUCUUAUUAAAACCAUUCUCAAUGUUAAA
This is a long non-coding RNA of Mesocricetus auratus (golden hamster), 396 nucleotides long. RefSeq lists it as uncharacterized. Lineage: Eukaryota; Metazoa; Chordata; Mammalia; Rodentia; Cricetidae. The record is from RefSeq and is a predicted model, not a curated record. The transcript has 2 exons.